RNAcentral lists this non-coding RNA (66 nucleotides) under Plasmodium falciparum 3D7. The record is from RNAcentral. Lineage: Eukaryota; Apicomplexa; Aconoidasida; Haemosporida; Plasmodiidae.
AUCAUUAUUUAUAUUAUCGUUAGUGUUAAUUUUUAAAUUAAUGUUCAUAUCCUUAUUGUUGGGUAG